This 497-nucleotide ribosomal RNA is filed under the name uncultured bacterium. RNAcentral's name for it is "partial 16S ribosomal RNA". It matches the Rfam family "Bacterial small subunit ribosomal RNA", at positions 28 to 507 of the family's 1533-position model. The record is from RNAcentral.
GAUGAACGCUGGCGGCGUGCCUAAUACAUGCAAGUCGAGCGAACAGACGAGGAGCUUGCUCCUCUGACGUUAGCGGCGGACGGGUGAGUAACACGUGGAUAACCUCCCUAUAAGACUGGGAUAACUUCGGGAAACCGGAGCUAAUACCGGAUAAUAUAUUGAACCGCAUGGUUCAAUAGUGAAAGACGGUUUUGCUUUCACUUAUAGAUUGAUCCGCGCCGCAUUAGCUAGUUGGUAAGGUAACGGCUUACCAAGGCAACGAUGCGUAGCCGACCUGAGAGGGUGAUCGGCCACACGGGAACUGAGACACGGUCCAGACUCCUACGGGAGGCAGCAGUAGGGAAUCUUCCGCAAUGGGCGAAAGCUUGACGGAGCAACGCCGCGUGAGUGAUGAAGGUCUUCGGAUCGUAAAACUCUGUUAUUAGGGAAGAACAAAUGUGUAAGUAACUAUGCACGUCUUGACGGUACCUAAUCAGAAAGCCACGGCUAACUACGUG